CCUACGGGGGGCAGCAGUGAGGAAUAUUGGUCAAUGGACGAGAGUCUGAACCAGCCAAGUAGCGUGAAGGAUGACUGCCCUAUGGGUUGUAAACUUCUUUUAUAUGGGAAUAAAAUGUUCCACGUGUGGGAUUUUGUAUGUACCAUAUGAAUAGGGAUCGGCUAACUCCGUGCCAGCAGCCGCGGUAAUACGGAGGAUCCGAGCGUUAUCCGGAUUUAUUGGGUUUAAAGGGAGCGUAGGUGGAUUGUUAAGUCAGUUGUGAAAGUUUGCGGCUCAACCGUAAAAUUGCAGUUGAAACUGGCAGUCUUGAGUACAGUAGAGGUGGGCGGAAUUCGUGGUGUAGCGGUGAAAUGCUUAGAUAUCACGAAGAACUCCGAUUGCGAAGGCAGUUCACUGGACUGCAACUGACACUGAGGCUCGAAAGUGUGGGUAUCAAACAGGAUUAGAUACCCCAGUAGUC
RNAcentral lists this ribosomal RNA (460 nucleotides) under uncultured bacterium. Its description in RNAcentral is "partial 16S ribosomal RNA". It matches the Rfam family "Bacterial small subunit ribosomal RNA", at positions 338 to 795 of the family's 1533-position model. The record is from RNAcentral.